CCUACGGGAGGCAGCAGUCGAGAAUCAUUCACAAUGGGGGCAACCCUGAUGGUGCGACGCCGCGUGGGGGAAUGAAGGUCUUCGGAUUGUAAACCCCUGUCAUGUGGGAGCAAAGUAAAAAGUUAGUACCACAUGAGGAAGAGACGGCUAACUCAGUGCCAGCAGCCUCGGUAAUACAGAGGUCUCAAGCGGUGUUCGGAAUCACUGGGGGUAAAGGGUGCGUAGGCCGUUUCGUAAGUCGUGUGUGAAAGGCGCGGGCUCAACCCGCGGACCGCAAAUGAUACUGCGAGACUAGGGGAGUGGGAGGGGAACCGGAAUUCUCGGUGUAGCAGUGAAAUGCGUAGAUAACGAG
This 352-nucleotide ribosomal RNA is filed under the name uncultured bacterium. RNAcentral's name for it is "partial 16S ribosomal RNA". It matches the Rfam family "Bacterial small subunit ribosomal RNA", at positions 338 to 701 of the family's 1533-position model. The record is from RNAcentral.